AGAGUUUGAUCAUGGCUCAGGACGAACGCUGGCGGCGUGCUUAACACAUGCAAGUCGAACGGUGACGAGGAGCUUGCCCCUCCGAUCAGUGGCGAACGGGUGAGUAACACGUGAGUAACCUGCCCCAGACUCUGGGAUAACAGUUGGAAACAGCUGCUAAUACCGGAUACGAGACGGAGAGGCAUCUCUACCGUCUGGAAAGUUUUUCGGUCUGGGAUGGACUCGCGGCCUAUCAGCUUGUUGGUGAGGUAAUGGCUCACCAAGGCGACGACGGGUAGCCGGCCUGAGAGGGCGACCGGCCACACUGGGACUGAGACACGGCCCAGACUCCUACGGGAGGCAGCAGUGGGGAAUAUUGCACAAUGGGCGAAAGCCUGAUGCAGCGACGCCGCGUGAGGGAUGACGGCCUUCGGGUUGUAAACCUCUUUCAGCAGGGAAGAAGCGAAAGUGACGGUACCUGCAGAAGAAGCACCGGCUAACUACGUGCCAGCAGCCGCGGUAAUACGUAGGGUGCGAGCGUUGUCCGGAAUUAUUGGGCGUAAAGAGCUUGUAGGCGGUUUGUCGCGUCUGCAGUGAAAAUCCGGGGCUCAACCCCGGACUUGCUGUGGGUACGGGCAGACUAGAGUGUGGUAGGGGAGACCGGAAUUCCUGGUGUAGCGGUGGAAUGCGCAGAUAUCAGGAGGAACACCGAUGGCGAAGGCAGGUCUCUGGGCCACAACUGACGCUGAGAAGCGAAAGCAUGGGGAGCGAACAGGAUUAGAUACCCCGGUAGU
Molecule: ribosomal RNA, 773 nt
Filed under: uncultured bacterium
Lineage: Bacteria
Description: bacterial SSU rRNA
Rfam family: Bacterial small subunit ribosomal RNA
Source: RNAcentral